GUAGGCUAUGGUGAUAUCUACCCAAAAACUCUGCUGGGAAAGAUAGUGGGGGGGUUAUGCUGCAUAGCUGGAGUACUGGUGAUUGCCCUACCUAUUCCCAUUAUUGUAAAUAAC
This is a non-coding RNA of Larimichthys crocea (large yellow croaker), 114 nucleotides long. The record is from Rfam. Lineage: Eukaryota; Metazoa; Chordata; Actinopteri; Sciaenidae.